RNAcentral lists this small nuclear RNA (18 nucleotides) under Arabidopsis thaliana (thale cress). Its description in RNAcentral is "snRNA_10638". The record is from RNAcentral. Lineage: Eukaryota; Viridiplantae; Streptophyta; Magnoliopsida; Brassicales; Brassicaceae.
UAUUAACCACAAAUUUGU